UCGGGAAUUUUGGGCAAUGGGGGCAACCCUGAUCCAGCCAUGCCGCGUGAGUGAAGAAGGCCUUCGGGUUGUAAAGCUCUUUCGGCGGGGACGAAACGGUCCGUGACAACACCACGGACUAAUGACAGUACUCGCAGAAGAAGCACCGGCUAACUACGUGCCAGCAGCCGCGGUAAUACGUAGGGUGCAGGCGUUAAUCGGAAUUACUGGGCGUAAAGCGUGCGCAGGCGGCUCCUUAAGUCAGAUGUGAAAUCCCCGGGCUUAACCUGGGAACUGCGUUUGAAACUGAGGGGCUAGAGUGUGGAAGAGGGGGGUGGAAUUCCAGGUGUAGCAGUGAAAUGCGUAGAGAUCUGGAGGAACACCGAUGGCGAAGGCAGCCCCCUGGGCUAACACUGACGCUCAUGCACGAAAGCGUGGGGAGCAAACAGGAUUAGAUACCCCAGUAGUCCCUGAGCGGGCUGGCAAGGCGCAU
RNAcentral lists this ribosomal RNA (472 nucleotides) under uncultured bacterium. RNAcentral describes it as "bacterial SSU rRNA". It matches the Rfam family "Bacterial small subunit ribosomal RNA", at positions 355 to 825 of the family's 1533-position model. The record is from RNAcentral.